Molecule: long non-coding RNA, 2842 nt
Organism: Leopardus geoffroyi (Geoffroy's cat)
Lineage: Eukaryota; Metazoa; Chordata; Mammalia; Carnivora; Felidae
Exons: 4
Source: RefSeq, a predicted model, not a curated record
AGGAGGGCGUGGGAAACUUAUGCAGGUGUGUGCAAGUUUCCCGCAGAGAAACUUCUGGGAGAUACUGGAUCUCCUGAACCUGUGAGUUCAGCGUGGGGAGAUUCUGUUCAGGUAACUUCUAGUUACCCUGACCAGCGCGCCUCCCUCCUACUCCCUUCUCCUGUUUGUAGUUUUCAGAGCUGUUUACACAAUCUCUUGAUGUCUCUCCUGUCCAUAAGCCCAAGUUACUAAGCCUGAUCCAUGCUGCUGCUUUGAUAUUGGCGACUGUGUUCCCCAGCCCUCUGUGUACCUUGAUCCAACCCAGAGCAGAUCUAAGGGAGGAUGGGAGACAUCAGUGAGGACUGACCCUUGUGACUGUCCCGUUGGAUGCGCAGACCAAAAGCCAAGUGAUGACGAAACAGAAGUCUUCCUUUGCCCUUUUCCAUGGACCCCUUUUAUGGAAGAAGAGACUCCUCAGGUUAUUACAACAAGGAUGAUGACAGAGCCUGGACCUCCAGCAGCAAGAGGGGAGGCAUUGAAAUGUACCUCUUUCUGGAUGAAGACCUGGCCCAAGUUCAGAGUCAUGAGUUAAAGACUGAGACAUACUGAAUAGGCGUGGAUAAUUUGAUUAAAUCCAACUGCUGUUUAUGGAGGACCUACUGUGUGUGCCAGACUCCGUGUGACGGGGAGUUCUGAGCAGCGGGGCUCCAAGGAGCCAAGUCAUGAAGGACAUCAUAGGCCAUGCUGAGGAUUCGUUUUACUGUAUCCUCAGGGCACAGGUUCUGGAAGCUGAAAAACCCAAGACCAAGGCGCUGGCAGAUUCAGUGUCUGGUGAGAGUCUACUUCCUGGUUUGUAGACGGCCAUCUUCUCUCUGUGUCCUCACAUGGCUGCAGGGUCAAGAGCGAUUCCUGUGGUUUUAUAAGGGCACCAUAUAUAAGGGCUCCGCACUCAGGGCCUAAUCACCUCCCAAAGUCCCCGUCUCCAAAUACCAUGCCAUCGGGCAUGAGGAUUUAACAUGAAUUUGGGGGAGACCAGUCUAUAGCACAGAUCUUAGAAAUCUGGUCCUGGGCUCCCACACCUCCCAGCUGCAACUGGUUCAUGAAGAGGACCUGGUGCUCACAGUAGAGUGGGGAGGAUGUGCAGGAACUGGGAGGGUUUUCAGAGCUGGGCCCACACCUGCUCCACCUCAGUGAGACCCUGGAUUAGCAGAGGAGUUUUGAAGGAGCCCAGGGCUGGACGCACCUGUGUGAGUGGGAUGGUGCAGUGAUGGGCCAACUGUGGGCACCCUCCUUGAUGACUGAGCCCUGAUUUGGACAUCUAACGGAGGUGGUGUGUGGGAAGAACAGACACUGACUCUGCUUUGUCCGUGGCCCAACAACCGUAGCUGCUACCCCUGGAGACGUUUUCUGGUGAUGCAGAGGCUCAGCCCUCCUUCCUCCUUAAGAUGUUCAUAGCAAGUAUGAAUUUCCAUCCAAAAAUGCAGGUGGGCAAAAAGCAAAAAUGAUCAUUUUUAUUGCGAACCCCCAUUCUGCUGGACUGGUGGACAUUCAGCCUUCCAGUUGGGGCUCUCCCCCUUUUCUGGAGUUUGUGGCUCAAUUUGGGAGUACCUGGGUGGUGCGAAGGCUUAGGGAAGGCCCCAGCUGGCCCUGAGACACCUGUGCUCCCAGGUGUCCCCUGAGGUGUCUGCUGUACAUCUAUCCCACGUUCGUCAAUUCACGUGUGUCCCACUGAGAAGGCCUUGUCUCUCGGACACAUGGGCCGGCUUGACCAUGUCCGAAUCUCUGCUUCAGUGCCCUGGUGGUGCCACCUGUGACCCUGCUACUUGGACCUGUCAGAUGAAUGCUCCUUCUCUGAGGUCUCGCUGGGGCACAGCCACCUCUUGAAGACAGCCCCCCCCCCCCCCCCCAAUGCUCUUGCUUUUUCAUUUCUCCUCACCGGUGACUUCCUCAGCUACCUGCACGGUGAAAUCCCUCCCUCCGUAAAUGGUGAUUUUUAAAAAAAAUUUUUUUUUGCCAGGGAAACUUACCACUAUUAUUAUUUCCAAAACAUUAUUCUUCCACAGUAUCUUCCUAAUAAGUUCCUGUGUCCCCACAAAGAAGGGAGACACCGGGCUCUACCCCCACACAAACUGUGCCUAGCUCUGUGGGUGAAUCAUUCCCCGGGGUCAUCAGAGAGAGAGCUAGCCAAGAUUGGACAGUGGGCAAAGAUCUCUCCUCCCUCCUCCUGGUGCUGUACUCUUCCCUGAUUGGAGCACCGAGUCCUCCCCAGCUAGGGGCCCAGCAGAACUUUUCUUGAAUUUGGAUUAGCUUCUGAGUGUCUCCCUCAAAUGGGGACGCUUUCCCUGUAGACUCUGCCUUAAAAGCAGCAGUAAAUGCACACUGCCUCCUGCCCUUGAUCUCCAGCCACAUCUGCUUCUUCCUCAGUUAUCGUCCCAUCCCUGGGCCUCAGCUGCCUGAUGUGGCAGGGGUGUGGGGUCAGCUGGGUCUAGAAUCUUGUGGGACCCUCAUGGCUCCUGCCUCUGCUCCCCUGGUCUCCCGAGACCUUUCCAAGCACACCUCACUUUCACACUUUCAGCUGAAAGUUCUGGAUUUAUGGGUCAAGACUCCCAUGAAAUGUCAACAAAUCCUAGAAGACAGCCCAAGAGGACACUUACAGGUCCUAAACUCUAGAGAGUGGUCUUAGCACUAUGCCUUGUUCACUGUAGCUUUGCUGCGGGUUCAGAAUCUUCCCCUGAAUUCCGUUUCUGCAUUAAGCUUCCCUGACUGUGGACACUCGGGACCCUCAGUCUUACCUGCCUCAGAUAGAGAGGCUCCCGCCUGAUGUCUCGUGACACCUGCUAAGUGCCAGCCAGGGCUGCUGGUU